RNAcentral lists this transfer RNA (92 nucleotides) under Lentisphaeria bacterium. RNAcentral's name for it is "tRNA-Ser". It matches the Rfam family "tRNA". From Rfam's summary of the family: Transfer RNA (tRNA) molecules are approximately 80 nucleotides in length. Their secondary structure includes four short double-helical elements and three loops (D, anti-codon, and T loops). Lineage: Bacteria; Pseudomonadati; Lentisphaerota; Lentisphaeria. The record is from RNAcentral.
GGAGAGGUGGCUGAGCGGCUGAAGGCAACGGUUUGCUAAACCGUCGUACCUCUAACGGGGUACCGGGGGUUCGAAUCCCCCCCUCUCCGCCA